ACAGAUGGGAGCUUGCUCCCUGAUGUUAGCGGCGGACGGGUGAGUAACACGUGGGUAACCUGCCUGUAAGACUGGGAUAACUCCGGGAAACCGGGGCUAAUACCGGAUGGUUGUUUGAACCGCAUGGUUCAGACAUAAAAGGUGGCUUCGGCUACCACUUACAGAUGGACCCGCGGCGCAUUAGCUAGUUGGUGAGGUAACGGCUCACCAAGGCGACGAUGCGUAGCCGACCUGAGAGGGUGAUCGGCCACACUGGGACUGAGACACGGCCCAGACUCCUACGGGAGGCAGCAGUAGGGAAUCUUCCGCAAUGGACGAAAGUCUGACGGAGCAACGCCGCGUGAGUGAUGAAGGUUUUCGGAUCGUAAAGCUCUGUUGUUAGGGAAGAACAAGUGCCGUUCAAAUAGGGCGGCACCUUGACGGUACCUAACCAGAAAGCCACGGCUAACUACGUGCCAGCAGCCGCGGUAAUACGUAGGUGGCAAGCGUUGUCCGGAAUUAUUGGGCGUAAAGGGCUCGCAGGCGGUUUCUUAAGUCUGAUGUGAAAGCCCCCGGCUCAACCGGGGAGGGUCAUUGGAAACUGGGGAACUUGAGUGCAGAAGAGGAGAGUGGAAUUCCACGUGUAGCGGUGAAAUGCGUAGAGAUGUGGAGGAACACCAGUGGCGAAGGCGACUCUCUGGUCUGUAACUGACGCUGAGGAGCGAAAGCGUGGGGAGCGAACAGGAUUAGAUACCCUGGUAGUCCACGCCGUAAACGAUGAGUGCUAAGUGUUAGGGGGUUUCCGCCCCUUAGUGCUGCAGCUAACGCAUUAAGCACUCCGCCUGGGGAGUACGGUCGCAAGACUGAAACUCAAAGGAAUUGACGGGGGCCC
This 871-nucleotide ribosomal RNA is filed under the name Bacillus siamensis. RNAcentral's name for it is "bacterial SSU rRNA". It matches the Rfam family "Bacterial small subunit ribosomal RNA", at positions 69 to 922 of the family's 1533-position model. The record is from RNAcentral. Lineage: Bacteria; Bacillati; Bacillota; Bacilli; Caryophanales; Bacillaceae.